Molecule: ribosomal RNA, 499 nt
Filed under: uncultured bacterium
Lineage: Bacteria
Description: bacterial SSU rRNA
Rfam family: Bacterial small subunit ribosomal RNA
Source: RNAcentral
AAUGGGCGAAAGCCUGACGGAGCAACGCCGCGUGAGGGAAGAAGGCCUUCGGGUUGUAAACCUCUGUUUUCAGGGAAGAAAAAAAUGACGGUACCUGAAGAGUAAGCUCCGGCUAACUACGUGCCAGCAGCCGCGGUAAUACGUAGGGAGCGAGCGUUGUCCGGAUUUACUGGGCGUAAAGGGCGCGUAGGUGGUCUAUUAAGUUAUAGGUGAAAGCCCGGGGCUCAACCCCGUGAUUGCCUGUGAUACUGGUAGACUUGAGUGCAGGAGAGGGGAGCAGAAUUCCCAGUGUAGCGGUGAAAUGCGUAGAUAUUGGGAGGAAUACCAGUGGCGAAGGCGGCUCUCUGGACUGUAACUGACACUGAGGCGCGAAAGCGUGGGGAGCGAACAGGAUUAGAUACCCUGGUAGUCCACGCCGUAAACGAUGAGUGCUAGGUGUUGCGGGUAUCGACCCCUGCAGUGCCGCAGUAAACACAAUAAGCACUCCGCCUGGGGAGUA